AUUGAACGCUGGCGGCAGGCCUAACACAUGCAAGUCGAGCGAGCGGCGGACGGGCGAGUAAUGUAUGGGGACUGCCCGAUAGAGGGGGAUAACUACUGGAAACGGUGGCUAAUACCGCAUACUAUCGGAUAACCCAUAGGGGAUUAGCUAAGCGGUGGGGUAAGGGCUCACCUAGGCGACGCUCACUAGCUGGUCUGAGAGGCUGAUCAGCCACACUGGGACUGAGACACGGCCCAGACUCCUACGGAGGCAGCAGUUGGGAAUAUUGCACAAUGGGCGCAAGCCUGAGGCAGCCAUGCCGCGUGUAUGAAGAAGGCCUUAGGGUUGUAAAGGACUUUCAGCGGGGAGGCGUUACCCGCAGAAGAAGCACCGGCUAACUCCGUGCCAGCAGCCGCGGUAAUAC
RNAcentral lists this ribosomal RNA (403 nucleotides) under uncultured bacterium. RNAcentral's name for it is "partial 16S ribosomal RNA". It matches the Rfam family "Bacterial small subunit ribosomal RNA", at positions 29 to 526 of the family's 1533-position model. The record is from RNAcentral.